CUAAUGCACCGGAUCCCAUCAGAACUCCGCAGUCAAGCGUGCUUGGGCGAGAGUAGUACUAGGAUGGGUGACCUCCUGGGAAGUCCUCGUGUUGCACCCC
This 100-nucleotide ribosomal RNA is filed under the name Arabis alpina (gray rockcress). Lineage: Eukaryota; Viridiplantae; Streptophyta; Magnoliopsida; Brassicales; Brassicaceae. The record is from RNAcentral.